Molecule: long non-coding RNA, 14666 nt
Filed under: Medicago truncatula (barrel medic)
Lineage: Eukaryota; Viridiplantae; Streptophyta; Magnoliopsida; Fabales; Fabaceae
Description: long non-coding RNA (MTRU_LNC004192)
Source: RNAcentral
AAGGAAUAGAAAAGCAUGCAACAAAGUUCUCAUCCCGUUACGUAUCAGAGCACCUAAAGACACACAUGAGAGAUAAUCCACUCACGACAGCAAUCUAACAACAACUUAAACUCGAUCACCUGCAAGUUACUCAUACGUAAAGCAACAUUUUCAAGCAGAAGGGGUGAGAUUUCACAAAACAAUAAUAUCAAGCAUAUAAUUCAUUAAUUAUAUUUAACAACAGAAAUAACUUCAUCUAUUAGUAAUAGUAAUCCUUUAUAUAAUGAUUCUUAAUAACUCAACCAACUUCUAAUUAUCAUUAACUUCAUAUUCAUCACAUUAUAAACUUCAUCAUAUAGCACAUAAUAACCAAAUCAUAACCGACAUAGAUUAUCAUAUCAUAAAUAUCAUCUUUAACACACAACGUAAUCAUCAUCUCAUAAUAACUUAGACCAAACAACAUAAUCAUCACUUAAUAAUAAUAAUAAUCAUAUACAACACAACAUAAUCAUCACUUACUAAUAAUAUAAACAACACAUAUUCAUCAUCUUAUAAUAAUACAACAACACAUAUUCAUCAUCUUAUAAUAAUAUAACAACAACAUAUUCAUCAAUAUUCCAUGGUUUGUCUUUAUCAACAACUUCAACAAUUCAUCAACGACAACGUCAACCUGACAACACAACUACGUGAGAGUACACCACCUCUUAUAAUACGACAACAUAAGAAUACACCACCUCUUAAAGAAUAACAACGUAAGAGUACACCACCUCUUAUAAACGACAAGUAAGAUUACACCACCUCUUAAAGAAUAACAAUGUAAGAGUACACCACCUCUUAUAAACGACAAAUAAGAGUACACCACCUCUUAAAGAAUAACAACGUAAGAGUACGUCACCUCUUAUAAAACGACAAGUAAGAGUACACCACCUCUUAAAGAAUAACAACGUAAGAGUACAACACCUCUCACAAAACACCUGAACAUAAACAGUCACCAGCAACAGCUUCAAGUACGACUUCAACAACUUAGACAACAUCAACAACUUAAGACUCCAAUACUUUGGAACGACAACUUACAACUUAGACAACUUAAACCAACAUCUGCAACUUAAUCAAUAUUCAACAGCAACAGAAACAGCACAAGCAAUUCUCAACAUAACAAUAUUAAUGAAAAACAUCAACAACUUAAACAUCAUACAUUUUCCACAUAAGGCAUAUAAUUAUUUCACAUAACCAACAACAUCAAAUAAUAAUCAACAUCUUAAAACAUCAUAUAUACAUAUAACACUUCAUCAAUCAUGGACAAUAUCGUAUUCAUAACAUAUACAUACAUAUACUAAUUCAUCAAUCAUAAACAACAUCAUACUCAUAAACAUAUACAUUCAUAUAACACUUCAUCAAUCAUGAACAAUAUCGUAUUUACAAACAUAUACAUACAUAUACUAAUUCAUCAAUCAUAUUCAAUUAUUCACUAUGACCUACGUGCAGUAAUUUGACCAUAACUCAAGUUCUAUACAUCCUUUUGAAGUUAAACCAACAGCAUUAGAAAGUUAACAUCCAUACCUACAACUUUCGUGUUUACCCCUAAGACCAAUUAUGUACCAAUAAAUACCAGUUUUCAUUUCAAAUUCGGACAAAGUUGUGCUGAAAUUCAUAAAAAUUGACUGUGACCUACGUGCAGUACUUUGACCAUAACUCAAGUUCUAUCAAUCGUUUUGACUUCAGACCAACGGUAUUAGAAAGCUAACUUCCAUACCUACAACUUUCGUGUUUACACCUAAGACCAAUUAUGUACCAAUCAAUACCAGUAUUAAUUUAAAAUUCGGUCUAAGUUGUGCUAAAAUUCAUAAAAGUUUACUGUGACCUACGUGCAGUAAUUUGACCAUAACUCAAGUUCUAUAAAUUUUUUUGAUGUCAGACCAACGACAUUAGAAAUCUAACAUUUAUACCUACAACUUUCGUGUUUACACCUAAGACCAAUUCUGGACUUAUCAAUACCAGAUUUCAUUUCAAAUUCGGGGCAGAGAUGAAAAGAAAAAUCAGAAAAAGCAACCUAUAUUAUUCAACUUCACUUUCAUUCAAAAUCAUCACAAUCAUCACUCUUAACCCUUAUUCUCAAAUUCUCAAAAACUAAACCUACAACAUGUUAAAUACAAUUUUCAGAAUCAUAGAUCAAGAUUAUUGAAUGUUAGUCCCACCCUUACCUUAAGAAAUUGAUUGCAAGGUUUUCUUCUCGUUCCUCCCCUUCUUUAGGUUUUCUCCCUUUUUCUCCAAAAACUGGUUGUACGUGAAAAACUAUUCUGACUUCUCACUUUUCUCUUUGUUUUCUCUCAAAUCCUUGUUUUCACGUAAAAACUAUUCUAACCUAAUUUCUCCUCUUUUAUAUCACUAAUCACUUCUCUUAAUUCUACUUAAGCCCACUAAACUUCUUUAAUUUCUAAUUCAGCCCCCCAAGUCUACUUAUUCUUUUAUUUAAUCACAUUCUAAUAAAUAAUAAAAUAAAACCACUUAAUAAAAUAUCAACAUACCACAUAAUCAAAUAAAUCAUAUAAUUCGACUCUAUCUCAUUAGAAUAAUUAAAUAAACAAAUAUAGGCUGCUAAUAUAUAUAUCAACACAUAACAAAAUAUCAUUUAUCAAAUAAGUUAAUUAAAUUCUAGAAGAACAGACUCUAAACUCAAAUAAAUAAAUAAAUAAAUAAAAUAAUUCAAAGAGGGUGUUACAACUCUACCCCCCUUAAAAGAAUUUCGUCCUCGAAAUUCAAAGCACGCAAGAAAAGGAAUUCAAUUAUUGUCUAACCAUCUUAAACCAUAUAUAGUCAAAUAGAAACUUCAACAAAACAUGUAAACCACAUCAAAGUUAGUCAAUCAAACAUGAUCACAUAAUAAACAUAUCUAUUAAUCAGAAACACAACAAUAACCAAUCAAACAACAUAAAGAUAGUAAUACAACUGUUACUCGACACAACUCGACUCAACUACUUGGCCGGAUGGACCGACCUGCUCUGAUACCAAUUGUAACACCCCGUUUUCCCAACUUAAAAAUUUCAUUUAAUUAAUCAGAGUAAUUCACAUAAACGGAAUAUCACACUUCUUUUCUUAAAAUCAUAAACGGAAUAAUUAACUAAUUAUCCUACAAAAUUCAAUAACAUAAUAUUUAAUACUUCGCAGCGGAAUUUAUUCGAACAUCUAAAAUAAUUUUGGCACGAAGGCCUCAUCAAAGUAUCUCAUAAAAAUCCAAUUAACAACUUAAUCAUGUAAAUUCAUAAGCAAUACGUAAGGAAUAUAUAUGAUUUGCUGUAGAAAUAUAUGUCAUUUGCUAUAGAAAUAUAAAUGAUUUUUUAUGGAAAUAUAUAUAUAUAUAUAUAUAUAUAUAUAUAUAUAUGUAUAUAUUAGAAUAGAAUAUUAAUAUUUGGAUUUAAGAGAAAAAUAAGUAGGUUAAAGAUUGAUAUAAAUAGGAGAGACCUAGUUUAGAAAAACAUAACGUACGUACGACUGCUUUUGGAGAAAAGGGAGAAAAGUCAAGAGAAGAGGAAAUACCAAGAGGAGGGCUGCGAUUUUGUGUAUUAAGGUAAGGGUGAGACUAACUUUGCAAUUAUAUUAAGUAUGUGAAUCAAUGGUUGGGUUUAACAUGAUGUAGGAUGAGUUUUUGAGGAAUUGAAAAGUAGGUUAAAAUUGUAGAAUUAAUGAAUAAACGGUGGAAACUUGUUAAAAAGAUGUAGAAACUGUCCUUAGACCUUAGAUAAUGAUUAAGAAUGAAUUAAGGAAUCGAAAUUAGGUUUAAAACCUUGAGAAAGGAUUGAAUUGGAGAAAACGAAAAAUAGGUCAAAACCCUAAAAUUGAUGAUUAAACGGUAGGAAUUGAUUAAACUGUUGUAGAAAGUGUUCCUGGACCUUAGAUAAUGUUUAGGACAAACUUUGGAAUCAAUACUAGGCUUAGAACCAUGUGAAUCGUCGGAUUUUUGUGAAAUUAGGAAGCCUGGCCGUAGCGACAUUGAUCGCUCGCCACGGCGAGCUAUGAACCUCGCCUCGCGAGUGAUGAUCUUCAUCGCUCGCCACACGAGCCUUACCCUUCGCCUCGCGAGUUCUUUUGGUAUUGCCCGCCAUAGCGAGCAACCUUACUCGCCAUAGCGAGCUAAGGCAGAGAGCAUGUUGAAUUUUGUAAUUUCGACUUUUUAGUUGGACCUUGAGUGCCUUUGAGUGCCUGAACAUACCUACUAAUGAUUAGGGAACGAAUGGGAACGAGAUUGAACCUAGAACAACCUUAGUUGGAAAUUUGGCUUGUACUCGCCACGGCGAGCAGAUGUUCUCGCCUCGCGAGCACUUCUAGAAUUGAGUGUUUUAGUGCAUUGUGAGACUUGAGUUGCUUGGAUUGGUUAGAAAUGAAUUUUAGGUACAUAGUGUGACCUAUUAAAGAUAAUGAUUGUGAAUUGUGAAGCUAUAUUGAAAUGCUAAGUGUUUAUAAUGUGAUUUAUUGAUUGAUUGCAUUGCUUGAAUUAUUAUUGAAUGAUCAGGAAGUUGUUGAAAAUGAAUUGAUAUUGGGCUGUUGAUAUGAUAUAAUUAUGCUGCUAUUGUUAUUUAACUAAGUUGCAUGAGUUGUUGUUGAUUAUCAUUUGAUAUUGUUAUAUCCUGAGAUGUUUAUGUGUCGCCUAUGUUGCUGUUGUUGGUUAUGUGAAAUAUUUAUAUGCCUUAUGUGGAAGAUGUUUGAUGUUUAAGUUGUUGAUGCUUCACAUUAAUAUUGUUAUGUUGUGAAUUGCUUGUGCUGUUUCUGUUGCUGUUAUGAACCCCCUUAUGGUAAUUGAGACCAAUGAUAACGUUUAAUGCAGACUGUAAAGUUGUUUAAGAUAUGUUGAUAUUAAUUGAGCAUGAGUUAAUGUAUUACACAUUAUGUAAGAUAUGAUGAAAUGUUAUGAUGCUAUUAAAUUGCAGUUGAUAUAUUGAUAUAUCUCUUUUGUUGUGUGACUUGACUGUGCUAUGGCUGUUAUUUAACUAAGUGCAUGAUGUCUAUAUAUAUGAGGAAAUGAUGACGUUUAGCUCCAAAUUAUUGGAUGCAUGAUGAUAUGUUGAUUACGAUGAUUACGGUGAUUUGUUGAUAAGAGUCCAUGCAUUAGCAUUCAUUGAGCUUUGUCCUCACCAUGUUUAGGAGCUUUGUCCUCCGCACGAUGAAAGUAUAUUAAUACUUAUGAUGACGAUUGGUACCACAUGCAUAUAAGUGUCUAAGUUGCAUUGUCGCAUUUGUUGAGUCAAAGUCGUUGGUGAUGAAUUAUCAUCCAUGGGUGAUCGAGUUGUGUUCUACCCAUGUGUUGUUAAAGAAGUACCUACGAAGAUUAUACGAUGUGAAUUAUAUGAUGUUGACUAAGAUGUUGCUAUGUUGUUUAACAUGUUGAUUAUGAUAUUGUUACGUUGCUAUGUUGUUUAAGAUAAUGAAUAUGAUAUUGUUAUGUUGCUAUGUUGUUUAACAUAUUGAUCAUGAUAUUGUUAUGUUGCUAAGUUGUUUAAGAUGUUGAUUAUGAUAUGUUUAUGUUGCUAUGUUGUGUAAGAUAUUGAUUAUGAUAUUGUUAAGUUGUUAUGAUGUUGUAUAUAAUUGUUACUAUUAAGUGAUGAAUUGUUGUACCAUAUAUGAUUAAUUAUUAUUAAGUGAAUGUUAUGAAUAUGUUGUUGUUAUAUUUUCAUAAGAUGAUGAAUACGUUGUUGUUAUAUAAUAUAAGAAGAUGAAUAUGUUGUUGUUGUUAUAUUAUUAUAAGAAGAUGUUUAUAUUAUGAUGUAUAUAAUUAUUAUUAUUAAGUGAUGAUUAUAUUGUAUAGUUUAAGUUAUUAGUGAUGAUGAUUACAUGAUGUUAUCUAGGAGUUGUUAAAUGUACUUGAUGAUGGUUAUGUUAAGUUGAUAAGUUGUCUUCUAUUCAUGAGAUGCUUGGUGGAGAAAUGUUAUUACAAAUUAAUGAUGUUAUUAUGUCUUAUAUGAAUUAGGAUUAAGAUGUUGUUAUGUUGUAUAUGAAUUAUGAUUAAGAUGUUAUGUUGAAUAUGAACUAUUAGUAUGAUGUGAUGAUCUAUGUUGUUAUGAUUUGGUUAAUACGUGUUAUAUGAUGAUGUUAUAAUGUGGUGAAUAUGAAGUAAAUGAUAAUAGAAGUUGGUUGGACUAUUAAGAAUUAUACAUGAAGAAUUAUUAUUACUAAUAGAUGAAGUUAGUUGUGUUGUUAAAUAUAAUUAUUGAAUUAUAUGCUUGAUAUUAUUGUUUUGUGAAAUCUCACCCCUUCUGCUUGAAAAUGUUGCUCUUCGCAUGAGUAACUUGCAGGUAUUAAUGAUUAGUAGGAGUGGUGGCUCAAGUGUCUUUAGGUGCUCUAAUACGUAACGGGAUGGGAACUUUGUUAUUGCUUUCUAUUCCUUACGUAUUGUUUUGAAGAUUUAUGACUAUGUUUUUAGAAUGGAUUUUUAUGAGAUAAUUAUAAAGAGGCCUUAGUGCCAAAGGCUGUUUUUAGUUAUUGAAGAAAUUCUACUGCGAAGUAUUUAAGAUUUUGUUAUUGAAUUUUAAAGGAUAAAUAGUUAUUUAUUCAGUUUAUGAUUUUAGGAAAAGAAUGUGACAUUCCGUUUUUGUGAAUUACUCUUAUUAAACAAAUGAAAUUUUUAUCUUGGGAAAACGGGAUGUUACAACCUGCAAGUUACUCAAACGAAGAACAACAUUUUCAAGCAGAAGGGGUGAGAUUUGACAAAACAAUAAUAUCAACUGUAAGAAGCCAGGUCAUUUCAUUGCUGAUUGCCCUGAUCUUCAGAAGGAGAAGUCUAAAAGCAGACCCAAGAAACCAAGCUUCAGCUCUAGCAAAUUCAGAAAGCAAAUCAAAAUGAGUUUGAUGGCAACCUGGGAAGAUCUGGACAGUGAAUCUGGUUCUGAUAAAGAAGAAGCAGAUGAUGAUGCAAAAGCAGCCAUGGGGUUAGUGGCAACAGUAUCAUCAGAAGCAGUAUCAGAAGCUGAAUCAGAUUCAGAAGAUGAAAAUGAGGUAUAUUCUAAGAUCCCUAGACAAGAACUUGUUGAUUCUCUAAAAGAACUCUUAUCACUAUUUGAACACAGAACCAAUGAGUUGUCUAAUUUAAAAGAAAAAUAUGUUGAUUUAAUGAAACAACAAAAAACAACUCUAUUGGAACUGAAAGCUUCUGAAGAAGAACUGAAAGGGUUUAACUUCAUAUCAACAACAUAUGAAGAUAGACUCAAGAUUCUUUGUCAGAAGCUACAAGAAAAGUGUGAUAAAGGUUCAGGCAAUAAACAUGAAAUUGCCUUGGAUGAUUUUAUUAUGGCUGGCAUAGACAGAAGCAAAGUUGCUUCUAUGAUCUACAGCACAUACAAAAACAAUGGCAAAGGGAUUGGAUAUUCUGAGGAGAAAUCCAAAGAGUACAGUCUCAAGAGCUACUGUGAUUGUAUCAAGGAUGGAUUGAAAUCCACCUUUGUGCCUGAAGGUACUGAUGCUGUAACUGCUGUCCAGUCAGAACCUGAAGCUUCUGGUUCUAAGGCUAAGAUUAUAUCAAAGCCAGAAAACCUUAAGUCUAAGGUUAUGACAAAACCUGAUCCUAAGACUCCAAAGAUUAAAAUUCUGAAAAGAUCAGAACCUGUUGCAAGAUUAUACUGAAACAUUUGCUCCAGUUGCAAGAUUGGAAGCAAUCAGGUUACUUCUAUCCUAUGCAGUUAAUCAUGACAUAAUAUUAUAUCAAAUGGAUGUCAAUAGUGCUUUUCUUAAUGGUGUCAUUGAAGAAGAAGUGUAUGUCAAACAACCACCUGGAUUUGAGGAUCUUAAGCAUCCUGAUCAUGUUUAUAAACUUGAAAUCACUAUAUGGCUUGAAACAAGCUCCGAGAGCUUGGUAUGAUAGACUAAGUAAUUCUUAAUUAAAAAUGAUUUUAAAAGAGGACAAGUUGACACAACACUCUUCAGAAGAACUCUUAAGAAAGACAUUCUGAUUGUACAAAUAUAUGUUGAUGAUAUAAUAUUUGGUUCUACUAAUGCAUCUCUUUGCAAGGAAUUUUCUAAGUUAAUGCAGGAUGAAUUUGAAAUGAGCAUGAUGGGAGAAUUGAAGUUCUUUCUUGGAAUUCAAAUCAACCAAAGCAAAGAAGGAGUAUAUGUUCAUCAAACAAAAUAUACAAAGGAGCUUCUGAAGAAGUUCAAGCUAGAAGAUUGUAAAGUGAUGAACACUCCAAUGCAUCCAACCUGCACCUUAAGCAAAGAAGAUACUGGAACUAUAGUAGACCAGAAGCUAUACAGAGGUAUGAUUGGCUCUCUGUUAUACCUCACUGCAUCUAGACCUGAUAUUUUAUUCAGUGUAUGCUUGUGUGCAAGAUUUCAAUCAGAUCCUAGAGAAUCUCAUUUAACUACAGUUAAAAGAAUCUUCAGAUAUCUGAAAGGAACAACUAAUCUUGGACUCCUGUAUAGGAAAUCCCUAGAUUACAAGUUGAUUGGAUUCUGUGAUGCUGAUUAUGUUGGUGAUGGGAUUGAAAGAAAAUCAACCAGUGGAAAUUGUCAAUUCCUGGGAGAGAAUCUGGUAUCCUGGGCAAGCAAAAGACAAGCAACUAUUGCUAUGUCUACAGCAGAAGCAGAAUACAUUUCAGCUGCAAGUUGUUGUACACAACUACUUUGGAUAAAACAUCAGUUGGAAGAUUAUCAGAUUAAUGCUAACAGUAUUCCCAUCUUUUGUGAUAAUACUGCUGCUAUUUGUUUGUCAAAGAAUCCAAUUCUACAUUCAAGAGCCAAGCAUAUUGAGAUCAAACAUCAUUUUAUCAGAGACUAUGUUCAAAAAGGAAUUUUAGAUAUACAAUUCAUUGAUAUUGAGCAUCAAUGGGCUGAUAUAUUUACAAAGCCUUUAUCUGUUGAAAGAUUUGAUUUUAUAAAGAAAAAUUUGAACAUGCACUUUGUGUCUGAUUAAAAAUUUGCUUGUCUUUGAAUAAGAAGUUUUGUUCUGAAGAUGACGUCAGCACUAAAACUUCAGAAGCGGUAUUCUUUGCUUCUGAAUAGCAAGGCUAGUGGGAUCGUUGGCAGUUACUUUUUGUAACAGCUGUCCCAUUACCCAAAGGUUAGUUUUCUGAAAAGUUUCUGACUUGGUCUAUUUGUAUUAGAGUAUAACAAAAAGGGCAAUGAUGUUUUAUAUGCUUUUAAACUUACUAACACGCGCCCUCAAUUUGUCAUUAAUGUUAUGUUUGUUUGUCUCCUUGAAUUGCAAACGUUUUGAUAAAAACACUUAAACAAACACACACAACUCACUUCACAACUCACACUUUCAUUUCAUCUUAACCUUCUCUGCUAAGAAACUCUCAAACCCUAGAAACCCUUUUCUUCUACAAUCAAUCAAAUGGCCUCAUCUAGUUCUGCACCUGGAUCAUCUUCAAACAUGCAACAACAAGAGGCUCCUACCUAUGAAAUCAAAGGAAGAACCAUGUCCUUGGAGGAAUGGGAACUGAAAAUUCAAUCAGAAAGUCCAGUGGAUUUCAUCUCCUUGGCCGCUCACAACUGUGAUAUUAGAAAAUUCUACGAAGCUCAAGGCUUGGGAAGCUAUUUCAACUUUCUGAACGGUCCAACCUAUCAAACCCUGGUACGACAUUUCUGGGUCAGAGCCAGCAUCUACGACAGAGAAGCUGCUAAGAUUGAAGAAGAUGAAAAAGUUCUUCUCCACCCAGAACUCAAAGGAAAAUCAAGAAAGGAAAUGGGCUUGGAACCAUUUUCUCAGACUCAGAUUAGGUCAAGCAUCAUGGGGGUCCCUGUGUGCAUCACUGAGAAUGUAAUUGCUUUCGUCCUCAGAAGUCCAGUAGAAGGGGAUUAUAAAGCUGGAAUUACAAAGCCCAAAGAUAGCCCCUGGAAUGAUAUUGUCAAUCAAACCCUCGACAACAAGCUCAAAGACUUUGCCUAUUCUGAUAUGAAUGCACAAACCAAGGUGAUGCUGAAGAUUCAGAAUGACAAUCUACUACCAAAAGGUGGUGGUAGUGAUCAACCGUCUCUGGAGCACAAAAUCCUUUUACACUUCUUCAUUACUGGUGUAAAGGCAAAUGUGCCCAGAUACAUAUUCAGACACAUGGUACAACAGCUCAGAGAGAGCUAGCUGAAGAAGAGGUGCUGGGUGCCCUAUGGAAGGCUACUCUCUGAAAUUUUCCAUCAAGGAGGGAUAAUCAAAAUGCUGAAGGAAGCAGGCAUCUUCUCUGAUGAAUAGUUGGAGACUGUUAGAGGGAAGAUCAUCAAUGCUGAAACCCUAAAGUCAAUGAAGCUGAUUGGUGUAAAGGAUGUCAAGAAGCUACCCACUGACUUGAAAGAAUCUGAUGCUAAAUCAGAUUUGAUUCCAAACUUUCCCCCCAUCUGCAAACAAGAUCCUUUGGAAGUGCAGAUGAACUACAUCAGGGAGCACUUUGAAAGAACAAAGGAGAAAAUCAGCUUGAAGGAUGUCCCUGAAGAAAUGUAUGGAGGAGUUCUUCCUGUUGCCAAAAGCAGGAAGACAAAAAGCCAAGCACUGUCCAAAGAAGAAUACUUGGAAGAAGAAGUGCCAAGAAAACCUUCCAAGAGGUCAAGAAAGGAUAUUAAGGUUGAGGUUGCAGCACCAAAGCCCAAGAAAACUAAAACUGCCAAGACUGAAAGCUCUAUUGUUUCUGCUUCUGAAGAAGCUGUUCUGAAGAAGAGAAACAAAGAGACUGAAGCUGCUCCUGAUGCUAUCAGAAGCAAAAGAGCAAAGGGUGAGACAAGCGUUCAGGAGCGUAUCAAGGAAGCUGCUGAACAGCUAAGGAAAGAAGAAGCUGAUCCUAAGCUAAAGAAGGCUCAGAAGCCUGUGUCUUUGGAAUCAUCUUGCUUCAGACUCACUUCUGAACAAGAACAAGAAACUAGAAACUAUGCUGCUGUUGAGAUAGCAAGGAGGAAGGAGCUGAAGAAACAAUAUGAAAAGCAAAGGGAUGAACAGCUCAAGGCAGCAGGGUACGAACUUGCUCCUGAGAAAGCUGCAGAAAUUGCCUCAUUAGCUGCUGAGAUUGCAGAAGAAACUGUCAAGGAAGGAGCAUCCUUGUUAAGUCAAGCUUUGAAAGGAAAGAAUGCUUCAGGAGCUACUUCUUCAGAACCAGCUUCAGAAGCUGCUCAAUUAGAAGCUCAACCUUCAGGUAUUCCUUCUCAACCUAAAGCUAGAAUCAAUACUCAGAUUCCUGCCCUUCUAUCUUCACCCUCCUCAUCAUCUUCCACUGACUCAGAUGAUGUUCCUCUGAGUCAGCACCUCAGUAAUUUCCUUACCGGUUUCAAACCUACUAAAUCCAAAAUUACUGGUACUAUAGACUUUGAGCAGACGCAAAUCAAUUUCUCUGAGCAGAGGAUAAAAAUCUGUGAAAAAUUGAAUUUGCCUGCUAUUCAUUUCUUUCAACCACCAGUAAUUGAACCGGUUAGUAUCCAACACCCAGAAACCAACCAAGUAACCAACCCACAAAGAGCCUCUGAAAUUGUUUCAGAAGCAACUUCAGAAAACCCCCAACAACAAGAAACCUCAACACUUCACAACCUAGAAAAACAUCUUGGAGGUGAAAUGCAACCAACACCUACAAAGGCCUCUAAAACAGUCCCUGAAGAGACUGUUUUGGAAAACCAACAAACAGAACCCCAAACUGAAACUCAAACCAUCCCAGAGCAAAUUGUUCCUGAACAUACUGUUCCUGAACAAGGUGCUUCUGACCUAGAGCAAAGUGUUCCUGAACAACAUGUUCCUGAACACAUUUCCUCUGACCAGCAAACUACCUCUGAACAAUCCCAGUCUAACACAGAACAACAACAACCAGAAUCACCAACCAUCAAUCUAACUUCUCCUGAACAUCAAACAGCUUCUGACCAACCUUCUACAUCUCAAACAACCAUCCCUGAACCUACACCUAUUCCAGAUACAAUCCUGGAAUCUGAGUAUAUUGAUGAAGAGCUUGUAAGGUUAAGUGAUGAGAUUCAGAGACUGAUUCUUCUCAGAACAGUUCCUGUACCUCCUAUUCACUAUCUUGAUCAAUGGAUGGAUCUGAAGAAGGACUUCAAUGAGUUGCUGGAUCAACUGAGUACAAAAUGCAUCACAACUCAUUCUGAUAUGCUGAAAAAGAUGUUGGAUGAACUUCAUGAAGCUUCAAGAGUGAAAGAGCUUGACUAUGUGCCUCUGCUAGCUAACACUCCUUUCUAUCCAGAGAGUGACUACACUUCAAGGGCUGACAGAAUUCAAGAAGGGCUGAGAAGAAGACUGAGAGCCAAGGAAGAAAUGGUAAACAAGCAACAAGAAGAACUCAAGAAGAAGUCUGAGCAGAUCUCAAGAAGAUUAGGCUCUGAGCCCUAUUAAAUUAACUUGUUAAUGAGCUUUGCUCUGAACCAUUUUUUUUGUGCUCUGAACCUUUUGUGCGUAUUUUUUAUUAAAAUUUAAUUAAUGAGUAUAGAACUCAGGGGGAGCUUACAAACCUCACCUUAAAGAUCUAUUAGACUCAGGGGGAGCUUACAAACCUCUAUCCCAGAAGUCAACUUAUUAAUUAGAUCAACAACAAUUGAACAUUUUAAUACUAUUGUUUGUCAUCAUCAAAAAGGGGGAGAUUGUUGGAACAAAAUGUGUUUCACAAUGAUCCUUAAUGAGUUUUGAUGAUAACAAGGUAUUAAAAAUUGUCAAUUGGUUAUUCCUAAUAAUUGUUCAAGUGUACAGGAUCAAAAGCUAGUCAAAUAAUUUCAAUAGGUCUUGGAAGAACAAUGGAGAGCAAAGGAAUUCGAAGCAUCUGAAGAAAACUGCGUCUGAAGCUAAAGUGCUUCUGAAGCUGAAGUGCCUCUGAAGUGAUGACGUCAUCAGAAGCAGAAGCUCAUCAGAAGCAGAAGGUCAUCAGAAGCAAAGUUUUUCAUCAGAAGCGAAAUCAUCACCAGAAGCUACAAUUGAUCCGUAAAUUUAAACUGGAGAUUCAAAGUAGUUGUUUAACAUUUCAACCUUGUCUAAGAAGAACGAAGAAUUGAAAGGGAGACAUCAACGGUCAUUUGGAGAACACUUAGUACUUGUCCUUCGUUAACAGAGUUGACAAAGUACAAGUGUACAACCACUACCUCCACUACUCUGUUUUUGUCCACGCUACAAGACAAGAAAAACAGUCAUGCCUGCAGAAAUGUUCCUUCAAGAUGGGAAUGAAUUUGAAGCUAAUUCUUCAAAGGACUACACCCAAAUCAGGCAAAGGAUUACUGGUGGAUGAUCAAAGGAACUCAACGACUCUUUAGACGUGCUAAUCAUCUCAACGUCUCUUUCACGCCUCUAUAUAAAGGAGUGAAGACUUGAAGAAUGUAGAUAGAGAUAUAUACAAGUUAAAAAGCGCCAAAACUCUGUCAAUUUGAUUCCACAAAGCACACUGAAUUUCUGCACUGAUUUGAUAUAUCUUAGAAAUUCAAAAGUCUAGAGUCUGUAUCGUAUUGUAUUGUGAACACCACUGAUUGUAUAUCAAGUGUUCAAGUCAAACUUAUUUCAUUGUAUUUUUGUUUGAUCAGAAGACUCUUGCCUGCGUGCUUGAGCAUUAGAAGACUCUUGCUUAGUGCUUGAGCAUUGGAAGACUCUUGCCUGUGUGCUUGAGAAUUUUGAGAAGUCUCAUACUUAGAGAGUAUUGAGCAUUUGUAAUCUUUGUGAUUAUAGUGAAAUCUCCUUGGAAGUGCAAGGGGGACUGGACUACUUCCGUGUUGUGGAAGAAACCAGGAUAACUGCUUGUGUCUUAUUCUUCUUUUCUCUGCUUUGAUCUUUUCCGCUGCAUAUCUGAUUCUGAUUAUUACAUUAGAAGCAUUUCCAAACUGCUUCCGAAGUACUAUCAGAAGAAGUAUUUUUUGAGAGAAAAAGAAAACACAAUUCAACCCCCCCUUCUUGUGUUUUUCUCACCUUCAAAUUAAUCAUAACUUCACAACUUAUCAUCUUCGACUCGACAAAUACAAAUAUGCAACUUAGACCUCUUAUAUGCAUGUGGUACCUGUAACACCCCAUUUUCCCAACAUAAAAAUUUCAUUUAAAUAAUCAGAGUAUUCAACACAAACGGAAUGCUACACUUCUUAAAAAUCAUAAAUGGAAUAAAUAACAAUUUAUCUUUCAUAAUUCAAUCAACAUAAAUAUUCAAAACUUCGUAGCGGAUUUAAUUCAACAACAUAAAUAGUCUUGGCACGAAGGCCUCAUUAAAACAUCUCUUAAAAAUCCAAUUAACAACUUAAUCAUGUAUAUUCAUAAACAAUACGUAAGGAAUAGAAAAGCAUGUAACAAAGUUCCCAUCCCGUUACGUAUCAGAGCACCUAAAGACACACGUGAGAGAUAGUCCACUCACGACAGCAAUCUAACAGCAACUUAAUCUCGAUCACCUGCAAGUUACUCAUACGAAGAGCAACAUUUCCAAGCAAAAGGGGUGAGAUUUCACAAAUCAAUAAUAUUAAGCAUAUAAUUCAACAAUUAUAUUUAACAACGUAAAUAUCAUCAAUUAAUAAUAAUAAUAAUUCUUCAUAUAGUGCUUCAUUAAUUGUUCAAUCCACUUCUAAUCAUCAUUAACUCAUAAAAAAUAUAAACAACAACAUAAUCAUCAUCUCAUAAUAAUAUAAACAACAACAUGAUCAUCAUCUUAUAUUAACAUAAGCAACAACAUAUUCAUCAUCUUAUAAUAUCAUAAGCAACAACAUAAUCCUUAAUAUUAUGUGGUUUGUCAUCAACAACAACUUCAACGAUUCGACGACGACAACGUCAACUU